RNAcentral lists this long non-coding RNA (510 nucleotides) under Panicum hallii. RNAcentral describes it as "long non-coding RNA (PHAL_LNC000053)". The record is from RNAcentral. Lineage: Eukaryota; Viridiplantae; Streptophyta; Magnoliopsida; Poales; Poaceae.
CCACCCCCUCCGAGCGCAAGAAAAGCACCCACCGCCGCGGCCUCGCCGUCCUCUCGUUUUUACAGCUCCCCUGCUCUGCUCGUCUCCGCCCCGAUUAGAUUUGCGGCUCGAUCAAUUAGAUUGAUCCGUUGCUAAUUAGAGCCUUUUUAAGUACGGGUUUACGGAGGCCUCUUGUUUCUUAACCAACACUACAAUACUCUACUCACUCAUCCAGAGACAGGAGUCAGGACACACAGAGAGAGAGAGAGAGAGAGAUUGGGUUUGGUUCCGUGUUCUUGGUGCCCUUUUCGCGUUGCGGAAGAUAUAAAAUUCCUCUUUUUACACUGCAUCCCCACUUAAUUUUGGCAGCCGCGGCACCCUUCGCUUCGCUUGCUGCCUUGCUGGUGUCCGAGCCUCCGCUUCGCCUUGCUGUCGGUCCUUCUGCCCCGCUCUGUCGCCGGCGCCGGGGGAGGGAGCUAGUCGGCGGGCGGGCGCGGCGCGCGGCGCCUGGCGCGGAUCGGCCGCGGGUGC